AGAUUUCCUCGUCUGUAAACAUUAAGUAUCUACAUUCACUAAAAGUAGUUCUGAAUGAAUGUUAUUUAAUGGUGCCAAUGAUGUUGGAGGAUACCUGUGCAUCUCAUGCUGUGGUUACAGCAUCAAUUGUGAUGAAUAUAGGAUACUGAGUCCCUCCUAGAAAUGACUUCAGGAACUUCACCCCCCAACUCCACAAUCUGGGAAUGGCAGACAGAUUCAGCACCAGGAGAACAUCACAUAAAGGACAAGUGUGUAUGUUUAAAAAUGGCAAGUUUCGGCCUGGCAUGGUGGCUCACGUCUAUAAUCCCAGCACUUUGGGAGGCUGAGUCUAAGUGUACAGUGCUUGUAAAGUCUGCAGUAGCAUACAGUAAUGUCCAAGGCUUUCACAUCCACUCACCACUCGCUCACUGACCCAGCCAGAGCAACUUCCAGUCCUGAAAGCUGCAUUCAUGUAUAGUUUGAGGGUAUCCAGCCUCAGAUUAUCUGAGGAUGUAGCUCAAGAUUUCCUAAUUUUGCAAACAGCAAGCUUCCCAGGAGAUUCUUAGAUUCCUGCUAACAAAAGGCGGAGACUCACUGGACAGUUACUGAAGAUAGACAGUAGGGGGCGGAAGGGCCCACGCUUCUUUGAUAUUGGUGGCUUUGGUUUUUCAGUGACGGGGGACACUUUGACUUCAGACUCAAUCACCACAAUUGCAAUCAAAAGACGGCUUUAGUUGGA
This 718-nucleotide long non-coding RNA is filed under the name Homo sapiens (human). RNAcentral describes it as "non-protein coding MANCR:31". The record is from RNAcentral. Lineage: Eukaryota; Metazoa; Chordata; Mammalia; Primates; Hominidae.